This 308-nucleotide ribosomal RNA is filed under the name PS1 clade bacterium. Its description in RNAcentral is "bacterial SSU rRNA". It matches the Rfam family "Bacterial small subunit ribosomal RNA", at positions 1 to 329 of the family's 1533-position model. The record is from RNAcentral. Lineage: Bacteria; Pseudomonadati; Pseudomonadota; Alphaproteobacteria.
AAACUUGAGAGUUUGAUCCUGGCUCAGAACGAACGCUGGCGGCAGGCCUAACACAUGCAAGUCGAACGAUAAGCUUCUUCGGAAGUGGACAGUGGCAGACGGGUGAGUAACGCGUGGGGAUCUGCCCAGAGGUUCGGGACAACCAUUGGAAACGAUGGCUAAUACCGGAUAAGCCCGCAAGGGGAAAGAUUUAUUGCCUUUGGAUGAACCCGCGUAAGAUUAGCUAGUUGGUGAGGUAAUGGCUCACCAAGGCGACGAUCUUUAGCUGGUCUGAGAGGAUGAUCAGCCACAUUGGGACUGAGACACGG